Molecule: ribosomal RNA, 301 nt
Filed under: uncultured bacterium
Lineage: Bacteria
Description: partial 16S ribosomal RNA
Rfam family: Bacterial small subunit ribosomal RNA
Source: RNAcentral
CAGCCGCCGCGGGAAUACGUAGGGUGCAAGCGUUAAUCGGAAUUACUGGGCGUAAAGCGUGCGCAGGCGGUUCGUUAAGACAGAUGUGAAAUCCCCGGGCUUAACCUGGGAACUGCAUUUGUGACUGGCGAGCUAGAGUAUGGCAGAGGGGGGUAGAAUUCCACGUGUAGCAGUGAAAUGCGUAGAGAUGUGGAGGAAUACCGAUGGCGAAGGCAGCCCCCUGGCCCGAUACUGACGCUGAGGCACGAAAGCGUGGGGAGCAAACAGGAUUAGAGACCCGUGUAGUCCCUGUCUCUUAUAC